Molecule: ribosomal RNA, 90 nt
Organism: Phytophthora infestans T30-4
Lineage: Eukaryota; Oomycota; Peronosporomycetes; Peronosporales; Peronosporaceae
Source: RefSeq, a predicted model, not a curated record
UCGUCAAGCUUGGGUAUAGGGGCGAAAGACUAAUCGAACCAUCUAGUAGCUGGUUCCCUCCGAAAUUUCCCUCAGGAUAGCAGCAACUUA